Molecule: ribosomal RNA, 370 nt
Filed under: Borrelia miyamotoi
Lineage: Bacteria; Pseudomonadati; Spirochaetota; Spirochaetia; Spirochaetales; Borreliaceae
Description: bacterial SSU rRNA
Rfam family: Bacterial small subunit ribosomal RNA
Source: RNAcentral
GAGUCACGAAAGCGUAGGGAGCAAACAGGAUUAGAUACCCUGGUAGUCUACGCUGUAAACGAUGCACACUUGGUGUUAAUCGAAAGGUUAGUACCGAAGCUAACGUGUUAAGUGUGCCGCCUGGGGAGUAUGUUCGCAAGAAUGAAACUCAAAGGAAUUGACGGGGGCCCGCACAAGCGGUGGAGCAUGUGGUUUAAUUCGAUGAUACGCGAGGAACCUUACCAGGGCUUGACAUAUACAGGAUAUAGUUAGAGAUAACUAUUCCCCGUUUGGGGUCUGUAUACAGGUGCUGCAUGGUUGUCGUCAGCUCGUGCCGUGAGGUGUUGGGUUAAGUCCCGCAACGAGCGCAACCCUUGUUAUCUGUUACCAA